UGAAGAAUUUGGAAGAGCAAGUGCCCCACUUCUACGUAUUCAUCUCUUUCCACUGAUGUGCGGUGCUCCCUCUGUAAUAAAUCAAGUGUCAGUGGACCCAACGAUGGGUGCCUGAAGUAGCUAUAUCUCUUUACUGAGCUACAACUUGGAUCAGACAAAAAUGGACCGUCCUUGAUGAUGUUCAGAAGCAAAGAAAGCUUUGAGGAGAAAGAUAUGGUUCUUAAGUCCUAAAGGGGCAAGCCCAUACCCAGAGGAGAUUCCUAGUGACAGAGCCCUGUGAGUAUUCCUGUAGAAGUCUGUGUCCACCAGGCUUCCUUGUUUUUAUUACAAGAUAUGAGUCGUUGGAGGAAACAAACUAAGAUCGAAAAGCCUCGUGAUAAUUAGGAACCUGAGUGGCAGAGGAGAGUGGCAGAUGCUGACAGGGAAGAUGCAGGUUAUAGAGGAAAUUCACCCAAUCCAAGGGCAUGCAGACCUGGCUGACGCGACUCUUUGGGCUUCAGAUUUACUGUUCAGUCCUGAUAGGAUCCUUGAGCAGUCACGAAUCCUACUUUACUAGCAACAACUGAGAGCAAAGGGCACACAGUCACAGAAACACUGCAGGGUGGAGAGGCUGGAAUAGCAUACAGGACAUUCACAAGCGGUUAUGGAAGAAAAAUGGCAGGGUCUCUGAGAGCAAGUUGCAAGAUUUUCAGACCUUCACUGAAUCUUCUACUGACAUUUAGCUUAAUCUUGACAAGCAUAUCGGAGUACUGCAAUGUGUUAAUGAUCAAGGAAUAUGUUAAAUAAUGACAUGUCUACUGCAGGAAAUUAUGGGAUAAUGCAAACAGCGUGCACUGGAUCAACCAUUAUCUAUGCCUAGUACUUAGUACUAUGACUAAAAGUGACUGCUUUUGGCAUCAAAAAUUGAAGCAUUCCUCUGGCUCAACUUGUUCUUUGCACAUCUUCCUUUACUGUGACAAGCACUGAGAGUUAAGUUGCUGUCUUCAAUACAGUCUGUUGAUUAUUAAUUUCAGAUACAACAUAUGCUUAAGAUGGCUCCCUGAAGUUGUUCUGCCUGGCAUCUGGGACUUGCUCAAUAUGCCAGUUUGUGAGCAUGAUUCGAUGUUUAAUAUUUAUUCAAUGUUUAAUUUUAUCAAAUAUUUUUGCAGCGUCCCCUCUGUUUAGUAGUCUAGUCACUACAUCUAUACAUAUUAGAUGUCAAUGACAGUCUACUUUUCUUUUCUCUCCAAAACUGUUUUACAUUAUCCCAAACAAAUAACAUCUUCUUGUGGAUCUUCCUCAUAUGUAAAAAUGGAGAUUUUAAAAAUUGGCAAAUAAAACUUCUACCUUCAGAAUUCUUCCUUUAUUUCAAACCCAAUUAAAAAGUUAUGAAUUUCUAUAAAAAUGUCAACCAUUGCAUUGAUGUCUUCCAUUCAUUUCUUGUAAGAAGCUAUUGUCAAAAUCAUGUACAAGUGGCUUUUUGGCCAUUCUUUGGAAACAUGUCUGGUCAGAUCCUUUGCCCAUUUUUAAAUAGGAUUAUUUGUCAUUUUAUUAUUGAGUUUUUAAAGUUCUCUAUAUAUUCUGGAUACAAUAACUUAUCAGAUAUAUGAUUUGCAAAUGUUUUCUCCCAAUCUUUGGAUUGUCUUUUCACUUUCAUGAUGGUAUCCUUGGAACUACAAAAGUUUUUAAUUUGAUGAUGUCCAAUUUACCUAUUUUUUCUUUUGUUUCUUGUGCUUUUGGUGUUCUAUCUAAGGAUAUUUGCCUAACCCAAGUUCAUGAAGAUUUUUUCCUAUGUUUCCUCUAAGAGUUUUAUAGUUUUAUCUAUUAAAUUUUAGUCUCUGAUCAAUUUUGAGUUAUUUUUUUUUAUGUGAUAUGAGAAAGGGGUCCAAUUUCAUUCUUUUGCGUGCGGAUAUCUAGUUUUAUCAACGCUAUUUGUUGAAAAGACUAUUCUUUCCCUAUUGAACAAUCUGAGCUUCCUUGUUCAAAAUCAAUUGACUAUAAAUGUAAAGGUUGAUUUCUGGACUCUUAAUUGCAUCCCGUUGAUCUAUGUGUCUAUCUUCAUGCCAGAACCACUCUGUAAUGAUUACUGAAGCUUUGAAGUAAGUUUUGACAUAGAGGAGUGUGAGUCCUCCACAUUUGUAUUUCAUUCACAACAUUGCUGUGGCUGUCAUGUGUCUCUUGCAUUUCUGUAUGCAUCUUAUGAUCAGCUUAGCAAUUUCUACCAAAAAAGCAGCUGUGAUUUUGAUAGGGAUUGUGGUGGAUCUGUAGAUCAAUUUGGGAAGUAUUGCUAUCUUAACAAUAUUGUCUUCCAAUGCAUGAACAUGGAUAUCUUUCCAUUUAUUUAGUCCUUCUUUAAUUUUUUUCAAGUAUGCUUUGUAGCUUUCAGAGUAUAGAUUUUACCCUUUGUGAAUAAUUCAUUUCUAAGUAUUUUAUUUUUUUGAUGCUAUUAUAAAUGGACUUGUCUUAAUUUCAUAUUUGAAGUCCUCAUUGCUAGAGUAUAGAAAUAUAAUUUUUGUAUAUUGACCACGUACCCUGCAGUCUGAAUGAACUUGUUUAUUAGCUCUAAUAAUGUUUUAAUGAGGUUGUUAGGAUUUUCUUAUACAGUCAGGUCUUGCUUAAGAACAGGGAUACAUUCUGAGAAAUGCGUUGUUAGGCGAUUUCGUCAUUGCAAGAACAUCAUAGCGUACUCACACAGACCUAGCCUACUGAAUACCCAGGCUAUACAGCACUAAUCUUAUGGGACCACUGUCCUAUACGUGGCCCGUCUUUGUUUGUUUUGUUUUUUUUUUUAUAAUUUUAUUUAUUUAUUUUUCUCCCAAAGCCCCAGCAGAUAGUUGUGUGUCAUAGCUGCACAUCCUUCUAGUUGCUGUAUGUGGGACGUGGCCUCAGCAUGGCCGGAGAAGCAGUGCGUCGGUGCGCGCCCGGGAU
Diceros bicornis minor is the source of this 2907-nucleotide long non-coding RNA. RefSeq lists it as uncharacterized. NCBI's taxonomy places the organism in Eukaryota, Metazoa, Chordata, Mammalia, Perissodactyla, Rhinocerotidae. The transcript has 5 exons. The record is from RefSeq and is a predicted model, not a curated record.